RNAcentral lists this long non-coding RNA (414 nucleotides) under Mytilus galloprovincialis (Mediterranean mussel). The record is from RNAcentral. Lineage: Eukaryota; Metazoa; Mollusca; Bivalvia; Mytilida; Mytilidae.
UUUUAUUUUAAACAAAUAAUUUGAAGUAUUUUGCCUGUCUUCCCGUAAUAUUUACACACAUGUAAAUAAAAAAAUACUUGAGGCAUUCAUAAAAAUUCAGGUUCUACAAAACAAUAUUGUAGUAAUAGAUACUUUUUUUUUCUAAGGUUGUCUUUCUUUUGUCUUAAUCUUUAGGACGACUUGUACACCUCAUAACUUUCAUAAACUUGUAAUGUUAUACAAUGUUUUUGUUUUGAAAGUAAUUGACAAGUAUUAGUUUACUGUAUGUUAAGGUGAAGGAAAAAACAAUUGUUUAUAUAAGGAACCAAAAGUAUCUGUCUUCCCUCGAUAAUGAAGAUUCAUCUUUAUUGUUAAAAUAAACUUGUAGUAUUUGCUUUUAUCAUAAAUCUUAAAUUUUUAUGUAACAAGUAUUAU